AAUCUUGCGCAAUGGGCGAAAGCCUGACUCAGCCAUGCCGCGUGAAUGAUGAAGGUCUUCGUACUGUUAGAUUCUUUCACCGUGGACGAUAAUGACGGUACCCGGAUAAGAAGCCCCGGCUAUCUUCGUGCCAGCAGCCGCGGUAAUACGUACGGGGCUAGCGUUGCUCGGAAUUACUUGGCGUAAAGGGCGCGUAAGGGGACAUUUAAGUCAGGGGUGAAAUCCCAGAGCUGAACUCUGGAACUUCCUUUGAUACUGGGUGUCUUGGAGGUGAGAGGGGUAGGUGGAACUCCGAGUGUAGAGGUGAAAUUCGUUGAUAUUCGGAAGAAAACCGGUGGCGAAGGGGACAUACUGGCUCAUUACUGACGCUGAGGCGCGAAAGCGUGGGGAGCAAACAG
Molecule: ribosomal RNA, 398 nt
Filed under: uncultured bacterium
Lineage: Bacteria
Description: partial 16S ribosomal RNA
Rfam family: Bacterial small subunit ribosomal RNA
Source: RNAcentral